Molecule: ribosomal RNA, 2040 nt
Filed under: Triticum aestivum (bread wheat)
Lineage: Eukaryota; Viridiplantae; Streptophyta; Magnoliopsida; Poales; Poaceae
Description: partial small subunit ribosomal RNA
Source: RNAcentral
AUGUCUCCUCCGCCGCCACCCUUCCUCUACCUCCUCCUCCCGCUCCUCCUCAUCGUCUCCGGCGCUGAGCCAGCCGGCGGCAGCUGCGGUGGCGGGGCCGAAAGCUGCGGCGACAUCGCGCUCCCGUUCCCCUUCCACCUCAACUCCUCCGCCGCCUGCGCCGACGCCGAUGGUAACUCCUCGUCCCUCUUCCACCUCUCCUGCGACGGCGGCGGUGGCCACAAUGCGACGCUCACCCUCACGCUCGGCGCCGCGGCCUUCCGCGUCCUGGAGUUCCUCCCCACGGGCGCCUCCCUCCUCCUCGACUACGCCGCGCCCGCGGCCCCGCCGUGCGACCCGGGGUACGCCGCGUUCUCGCGCCCGUCCUCCCCGGCGGCCGCGCUCGACGCCGCCGCGUCCUUCCUCGCCGUCGCGCCGGCCAACGUGCUCCGCCUCUACGCCUGCGAGGACUCCUCGCUCUGCCGCGCCGGCUGUGACGACGUGGCCGCGCCGGCCUGCGCCGGGAAGAAGCCCGCGGCUGCCGGGUGCUGCUACCCGCUCUCCGACGGCAGCGUGUGGAAGCCCGGGGACGGGCUCGGCGUGUUCGCCGGAUUCGGGUGCCGGGGCUUCUCCAGCUGGGUCAAGAACCGCUCGUCGUCGGCGACGGCGGGCGUGAUGAGAGCGAUCGAGGUGGAGUGGGCCCUGCCGAGGGGCUCCGCGCUCGCUGCGUGCGCCGACGGCGCCAGGCUCGUCAACUCCACGACGGUGCGCGGCGGCGUGCGGUGCGCGUGCGCGCCCGGGCUCGUUGGUGAUGGCUUUGUGCACGGCACCGGCUGCUCCAAGCGGCUCGAGUGCGGCGAUGGCGACGGCGCUGCUUGUUGCCAGGGAAGGUUCUGCUCCAAGAAGGCGGUGGCGCUCGCCGGGUUCUUCGUGUCGGUGUUCUUCCUCGCUGCGGCGGUCUCGUUCUGGCUGUUCCUCCGGCAGCCUUCCGGCGACGUGAGCCAGCGGUGGGACGACCUGGACCCGGCGUGCAUCCCCAAGAUCAUCGGGGGCGUGUGCAACGCGAGGCAGUUCACGUACGAGCAGCUGGACGCGGCGACGAGGCGGUUCGAGGACGGCGGCGAGAAGCCCGUCGACGCCGAGGGCUUGGUCCACGCCGGCGUGCUCGACGACGGCACCGUGGUGGCGGUGCAGAGGAUCGGGUACGAGACGCAGGACAAGCUGCGGGCGGCCCUUGACGCGGUGUCGCUCCUCCCGGAGGUCUCGCACCCGAACAUCGCCCGCGUCGUCGGCUUCUGCCUGCCGGAGGACCCCGGCGCGCGCGCGCUGCUGCUGGUGCACGAGCACUUCACCGGCGGCACGCUGGAGGACCACCUGCGGCGGACGGUCGGCGGCAGCCGCGCCACCCUCGGCUGGCACCACCGCGUCAGCAUCGCCAUCGAGCUGGCCAGCGCGCUGGCGUACCUGCAGGCGCACGACACGGCGCCGACCUUCCUCCACGACCUCCGCUCCAGCGACGUCUUCCUCGACGCCGACCUCAGCGCCAAGAUCGCCGGCCACAAGCUCGCCUCCUCCUCCUCCACCCCGGCGGCCGCCAGCUACCACCACCACUACUACGGCUCGUCGUCGUCGUCAACAGCCGGGGCGAACGAGCAGGACGUGGUGUGCAACUUCGGGCUGCUUCUGAUCGAGCUGCUCACGGGACUGCGGCACCAGAACCCGUUCGACUCGGUGGCGCCCAAGGUCAGAGAGGGAAGGCUCCACGAGGUCAUCGACCCCACGCUGCUGCUGGCGUCGUCGUCGGGGAAGAAGAGCCAGGGGCAGCUGCCGGCGGCGGCGGAGGAGGUGCGCAAGGUGCUGGAGCUGGCGGUGCGGUGCCUGCUGAGCGCGGAGAACGGGGUCGGGAUGGUGGCGGUGACGCGGGAGCUGAUGCACCUCGUCAGGGACAGCAUGGGGGGCAGCAGCAAGAUCGAGAUCUCCCUGGAGGAGACCUUCUCCAGCUCCAGCCUCCUCCAGAUGAUCUCCAUGUCGCCCGACACCCUACACCGCCACCUCCCGUGA